Molecule: ribosomal RNA, 252 nt
Filed under: uncultured Enterococcus sp.
Lineage: Bacteria; Bacillati; Bacillota; Bacilli; Lactobacillales; Enterococcaceae
Description: partial 16S ribosomal RNA
Rfam family: Bacterial small subunit ribosomal RNA
Source: RNAcentral
ACGUAGGUGGCAAGCGUUGUCCGGAUUUAUUGGGCGUAAAGCGAGCGCAGGCGGUUUCUUAAGUCUGAUGUGAAAGCCCCCGGCUCAACCGGGGAGGGUCAUUGGAAACUGGGAGACUUGAGUGCAGAAGAGGAGAGUGGAAUUCCAUGUGUAGCGGUGAAAUGCGUAGAUAUAUGGAGGAACACCAGUGGCGAAGGCGGCUCUCUGGUCUGUAACUGACGCUGAGGCUCGAAAGCGUGGGGAGCAAACAGG